GUACCGUCUCAGUGCAAUAAUUUACUUGCCCUGAUAAUGAUAUUUCUUUGAGCCUUUCCAUCCCAAAAGGAACAAGUCAUUUUCAAUUCCACCAACACCAAGGACGCCACUGCUUUUCAUUUUCAAUAUCAUAACCUAACCCAACCCUACCCUUAUCUUAAUGUGUACGGUCCUCCAAUCAAUCAAUGACAAAAGACGCUUUGGCAUUAUCCCUCCCCAUUAGGGUUUCUGAUACACUGUUCACUCCCUUUCCAGGCUAGGGCUUCUGGGCGUUGGUAGAGACAGCACAACACAGAUCUGCACAAUUUUAUUCAUAUGAUUUCUAGAUCUGGCUAUGCGUACACACUUUUAUGCUUACUUUGCAGUAAUUUGUUACUAAUCAAAGUUUAUGAAAAAGCCGGAAAACGGGGUUCGUUGGUUCAAGUUUGGAAGGUGAUCCAGAAUUUUAGACUGAAAGUGUUGUACAACUCAUUUGGAACACUGAAUAAUAGUCUCAAAGAUUGGGUAAAGUAGCUGGAAAACAGUGUAUAUCCCAAUGUUAGCAGAGGGCAGGUUGGUGGGUUUUCUGUUUCUGGAAUCAUUCUAUUCUCAUGUUCUUCUCCAUGAAUAGUUUGGAGCCAAAUUUUUUCUGCUGCUGUUAAAAGAAUUAUUUUUUUUCUGCCUCUCUCAUUAUGUUUUUUUUAUUUGUUUUCAUAACAUUGAUUUGAAAUAUUUAUUAAUUUUAUCAGAUAAUUAAUCUUAUAAAAAAUAUAAUUAAAUAAUUUUUAGUAAGAUCUUACAAGCUCCAAAUCUGAAAAGUUGCGUAAAGACUGAAAAAUGAUUUAAAGAGACUAAAUUCAAUUUCACUUGACCAUCAAAAUAUUGGUGUCUCUUUCACCAAUUGAUUAUAUCAUGCAUGCCCUUAGGCUAUAGAUCUACGCAUAUAUGAAGGGUACAGUAUGUUACUAUAUAUGUAGUCUGUGUUCUAGGGCAUUCCGUAGAUUUCCCUUUAUUUUGUUUUCCUUGUCUUUUGGAUUUAGAAUCAUAAAUGUCUUUAUUUGACUAGUCAGAUUUUUUUUUUUUUUUGAAUGGCCUCUUGGGUUUGCUUCUGGAUCCUGAUUUUGGGGUACACACAAUGUCAUACAUUGCUUUCUCCCUUUUUUCUUGUUCUGGAACACGAUCACAUGUUUUUGAUUGAAAAGUGGAAGCAGUGUUAGAAAAUCUCAUGAGAAAUAACACGGCUCUGAAGGCAGCCCUGGGAGUUUUCUCCUUUUUGAAGCUUCUUGCGGCGGAGGGAGACAAAGAGCCUGAGAAUUUGGAUGGCUCCGCUGCUUGAAAUUUCUGAAUUAGGUGUCAUGGGAUAUGAACAGUAAGUACACCGGUUUCCCUAAUAUGCUUUAUCUCCUUUUUAUUUUCUUAUUUAUUCUUCUUCUUUUCUAGAGUUUUAUUAUAAGUUUUCCAUUAAACAUGACAAACAAAUGGAGAGAGAGAGAGAGAAUUCUGAAUAUUGGAGAGUGGAGACCAAUAACCCGGUGCCACCUCCCCCAUAAACCGGUUCCACCUCCCCCAUGUGCUUGUAUUAAUAAGUUACAACAUUCAUCAUAUUUUUCAUUCUUUUCAACCUUUCUGAAUUAGGUGUCAUUGGACCACUACAAAUUAAUGUUAUUUGUGGGUAAAGGAUGAUAUAUUGCUCAAACACAAAAUCUGAACUCGUAGACAUAUACUGUAUAUUCUAAGGCUCAUUUUAUUUUCUGAAUUGCGGGUGAAGUGAUAGGAUAUCCUCCAUCAUUUGAUGUUUUGAUUAAAGUCUGUGCUAAUAAUAACAUUCUUGGUUUUACUUUAAUCUGUUCGGACCGGAACUUCAUUGUUUCGUAGGGAAUUGCGAAUAAUGUACUAUUCAAACGAGAAUAUUUUUAUGAGUUA
This is a long non-coding RNA of Glycine soja, 1902 nucleotides long. RefSeq lists it as uncharacterized. The record is from RefSeq and is a predicted model, not a curated record. NCBI's taxonomy places the organism in Eukaryota, Viridiplantae, Streptophyta, Magnoliopsida, Fabales, Fabaceae. The transcript is spliced from 2 exons.